UAAACUAUCAAAAAAUACAAAUAAUGGCUUUUGGCAAGAAACAGAAGUCUAGAACCUGGACCAUUGAUGGCCAUUUGAUUGAACAGUGCACAUUGCCCACACAGCAGAUAUUAGGCAAAAGUCGGUUCACAAUAUACUUAGAUUUCUUUGAACUAAGGGUGGACAUUACAUCCCUGCUACCCUAA
Long non-coding RNA from Heteronotia binoei (common prickly gecko), 185 nucleotides. RefSeq lists it as uncharacterized. The record is from RefSeq and is a predicted model, not a curated record. Lineage: Eukaryota; Metazoa; Chordata; Lepidosauria; Squamata; Gekkonidae. The transcript has 2 exons.